This 1281-nucleotide long non-coding RNA is filed under the name Gossypium barbadense (sea-island cotton). Its description in RNAcentral is "long non-coding RNA (GBAR_LNC011811)". Lineage: Eukaryota; Viridiplantae; Streptophyta; Magnoliopsida; Malvales; Malvaceae. The record is from RNAcentral.
CCCAACUAGCUAGACCCAUUUACCUAUAAUAAUUUCAUCUAAUACAUUUCACACCCAAAACCAAGCUUAGAACAAGGCUUAGAUUAGACUCUACAAGGAGAUCAUCAUUAAAGGAGGGCCAUUCUCAACCCUUCUCCGUCUAUAAAACCUCCUCCUCCAAUAAGGGAGAGAGGCAAACAAAUUGUGCAAAAACUCUCUCCCCAUAACUACAUGACAUACUUUCACCAUCAUAAAUAGUAGCUAUGCGCACUUCCACCAUGUGAACCACCUUUUUCGUAGCAAUUCUUUGCACCUCCAAUAGUAUGAACUGUUGAACUACUCUUAUAUUUUGUGUUGUGACAAUUUACGUUGUCUAUGGGAAGAUAGCUCAACCAGCUCAGGACGCUCUACAGCACAAACAGAUGAGGUAGACUAUGGGCAAGAGGAUCAACACUAAUAGGAUCAAUGGGAAUAUGGAAACGAUUAGUAUGACAAAAACAACUUUUUUUUUUUCUCAGUUUAUUAAGACAUAAAAAUUGGCAAAUACACACCAAAUAAAAAGCGCACAACAUAGCUAAUAACGCAAUAAAACUAAGCUACCAAUAUUCUUUACCCUGAUAAAAUCACCAAAUAAAAGCAGACAAUAUAGCUGAUAAAACGAUAAAACACAAAAUUUAUGCCACCAACAUCCAUCAAUGCCUGAUUUGGCCAAAGCAUCUGCCCAACAAUUUGCCUUUUUACAUUCAAUUUUAACUUGAACAAUUGUAGAUCAAUCCUUUUGAAAAAAAACGACUAUUACCAACAUGACUACAACCAAUAAUAAAAUUAUCAACAACAGCUAGGGAUAGAACAUCUCAGAGCAUCUAGGUCACGAAUAGAAUGGUCAACCAAAUGACCAAAGGAGCUACCAUUCGGGACAUCAGCAUGAACAGACUGUCGAGACGCUAUCAGGAUCACCCGAACCAACCAAGCCCCCUAAAAGGUAAUCAUUAAUCAUGACACCAAGGGGUUGAGAAUCCAACUACGCAAAAUCAUACCCCGACGAUGCAGCAGUACACAGAGAUUUAAGAGCAGUUUAGGCUCUUAUUGGAGAAAUACAAUCAGCAACAGGGACUAUACAACAGAGUGCUCAGAUUAUUCAUGAACUAAGGGUGGAGUAGUCUCCUCCAAAAAUAGUGAAUGUGAAACCAAAGGCAUGAAGAAAUCGUAUCAUUUGUGGCUGGGUGAAGGGAACACCCCACAAAAGAAGGAAAAAAGGACCUGAGGCGUGGUUCGGAGGAAGUACUUUCAAAAACUAUAAAC